Mobula hypostoma (lesser devil ray) is the source of this 257-nucleotide long non-coding RNA. RefSeq lists it as uncharacterized. Lineage: Eukaryota; Metazoa; Chordata; Chondrichthyes; Myliobatiformes; Myliobatidae. The record is from RefSeq and is a predicted model, not a curated record. The transcript is spliced from 3 exons.
GUGGUCCUGAUCUCCACGUGUCCAUGGGGUCCUCCUUAUCCACGAUGGUUGGUCUCUGGCUGCUGGAGAGUUAUCAUCCCUGCAUAUUUGGAGCUCCUCCUCCCUCAACAAUACAUAUCCUGCCCUGCAGAUAGUCUUCCAUUCAGGAAAUUACAAAGAAGGAAUCAUACUUGAAUUUCCUUGUGAGUUCCAAGCAGGGAUCAGGGAACAUAAUGCAAAGGCUAUGGGGUGAUAUGACUGAACUUAUACUACAUGGC